CACCCGAUGACUGAAAGUAAGUAUAGAUCUUUUAAAUCUAUCAUAGUAGUUAACGUUUACUUCAGGUGA
Molecule: transfer RNA, 69 nt
Filed under: Dotilla wichmanni
Lineage: Eukaryota; Metazoa; Arthropoda; Malacostraca; Decapoda; Dotillidae
Description: tRNA-Lys
Source: RNAcentral